This 484-nucleotide ribosomal RNA is filed under the name uncultured bacterium. RNAcentral's name for it is "partial 16S ribosomal RNA". It matches the Rfam family "Bacterial small subunit ribosomal RNA", at positions 30 to 507 of the family's 1533-position model. The record is from RNAcentral.
AUUGAACGCUGGCGGAAUGCUUUACACAUGCAAGUCGAACGAUGAACCUUAGCUUGCUAAGGGGAUUAGUGGCGAACGGGUGAGUAAUAUAUCGGAACGUGCCUUGUAAUGGGGGAUAACUAGUCGAAAGAUUAGCUAAUACCGCAUACGCCCUGAGGGGGAAAGUAGGGGAUCUUCGGACCUUACGUUAUAAGAGCGGCCGAUAUCUGAUUAGCUAGUUGGUGGGGUAAUGGCCUACCAAGGCGACGAUCAGUAGCUGGUCUGAGAGGACGACCAGCCACACUGGAACUGAGACACGGUCCAGACUCCUACGGGAGGCAGCAGUGGGGAAUGUUGGACAAUGGGCGCAAGCCUGAUCCAGCCAUUCCGCGUGAGUGAAGAAGGCCUUCGGGUUGUAAAGCUCUUUCGCAAGGGAAGAAAACUUACCAUCGAAUAAAUGGUGAGGCUGACGGUACCUUGAUAAGAAGCACCGGCUAACUACGUG